ACAUAAGGCCCACCCUGGCUGGGCCUGAUCUCUUCUGAUCUCAGAAAGUGAACAGUACUGGGCCUGCUUAGUAUUUGAAGGGAAAGAGAACUUUCCUCGUCUUGCUGCCUUAUUUA
Molecule: ribosomal RNA, 116 nt
Filed under: Microtus ochrogaster (prairie vole)
Lineage: Eukaryota; Metazoa; Chordata; Mammalia; Rodentia; Cricetidae
Source: RNAcentral